RNAcentral lists this ribosomal RNA (220 nucleotides) under uncultured Glomus. Its description in RNAcentral is "partial small subunit ribosomal RNA". It matches the Rfam family "Eukaryotic small subunit ribosomal RNA", at positions 591 to 816 of the family's 1831-position model. The record is from RNAcentral. Lineage: Eukaryota; Fungi; Glomeromycota; Glomeromycetes; Glomerales; Glomeraceae.
CCAAUAGCGUAUAUUAAAGUUGUUGCAGUUAAAAAGCUCGUAGUUGAAUUUCGGGAUCAGUACGCUGGUCGUGCCUUCGGUAUGCACUGGUGUCACUGGUUCCUCCCUUCUGAAGAACCGUCAUGCCAUUCAGUUGGUGUGGCGGGGAAUCAGGACUGUUACUUUGAAAAAAUUAGAGUGUUUAAAGCAGGCUCGCGCUUGAAUACAUUAGCAUGGAAUA